CCUACGGGGUGCAGCAGUGAGGAAUAUUGGUCAAUGGACGAGAGUCUGAACCAGCCAAGUAGCGUGAAGGAUGACUGCCCUAUGGGUUGUAAACUUCUUUUAUAUGGGAAUAAAAUGUUCCACGUGUGGGAUUUUGUAUGUACCAUAUGAAUAAGGAUCGGCUAACUCCGUGCCAGCAGCCGCGGUAAUACGGAGGAUCCGAGCGUUAUCCGGAUUUUUUGGGUUUAAAGGGAGCGUAGAUGGGUUGUUAAGUCAGUUGUGAAAGUUUGGGGCUCAACCGUAAAAUUGCAAUUGAUACUGGCAGGCUUGAGUACAGUUGGGGUAGGCGGAAUUCGUGGUGUAGCGGUGAAAUGCUUAGAUAUCACGAAGAACUCCGAUUGCGAAGGCAGCUUACUAAACUGCCACUGACAUUGAUGCUCGAAAGUGUGGGUAUCAAACAGGAUUAGAUACCCCGGUAGUC
This 460-nucleotide ribosomal RNA is filed under the name uncultured bacterium. RNAcentral describes it as "partial 16S ribosomal RNA". It matches the Rfam family "Bacterial small subunit ribosomal RNA", at positions 338 to 795 of the family's 1533-position model. The record is from RNAcentral.